This is a non-coding RNA of Bos taurus (domestic cattle), 73 nucleotides long. The record is from Rfam. Lineage: Eukaryota; Metazoa; Chordata; Mammalia; Artiodactyla; Bovidae.
UCCCUGGUGGCUCAGAUGGUAAAGCGUCUGCCUACAAUGCGGGAGACCCGGGUUCAAUCUCUGGGCCGGGAAA